UGUUAAAUUUUUUAUUCAUUAUUUGUACUAUUAAAAAUUAGCGUGGAUGAUGGAAUAAUAAGUCAGUGACAUGUAGUGUUCCCUGUAUACCAUAUGCUGACAUACAAAGACCAAAUUUUAACAGUAGAAAUGCAUAAAAAUGUUAACA
Non-coding RNA from Gossypium hirsutum (cotton), 148 nucleotides. The record is from Rfam. Lineage: Eukaryota; Viridiplantae; Streptophyta; Magnoliopsida; Malvales; Malvaceae.